RNAcentral lists this ribosomal RNA (497 nucleotides) under uncultured bacterium. RNAcentral's name for it is "partial 16S ribosomal RNA". It matches the Rfam family "Bacterial small subunit ribosomal RNA", at positions 28 to 507 of the family's 1533-position model. The record is from RNAcentral.
GAUGAACGCUGGCGGCGUGCCUAAUACAUGCAAGUCGAGCGAACAGACGAGGAGCUUGCUCCUCUGACGUUAGCGGCGGACGGGUGAGUAACACGUGGAUAACCUACCUAUAAGACUGGGAUAACUUCGGGAAACCGGAGCUAAUACCGGAUAAUAUAUUGAACCGCAUGGUUCAAUAGUGAAAGACGGUUUUGCUGUCACUUAUAGAUGGAUCCGCGCCGCAUUAGCGAGUUGGUAAGGUAACGGCUUACCAAGGCAACGAUGCGUAGCCGACCUGAGAGGGUGAUCGGCCACACUGGAACUGAGACACGGUCCAGACUCCUCCGGGAGGCAGCAGUAGGGAAUCUUCCGCAAUGGGCGAAAGCCUGACGGAGCAACGCCGCGUGAGUGAUGAAGGUCUUCGGAUCGUAAAACUCUGUUAUUAGGGAAGAACAAAUGUGUAAGUAACUAUGCACGUCUUGACGGUACCUAAUCAGAAAGCCACGGCUAACUACGUG